AGAGUUUGAUCCUGGCUCAGAUUGAACGCUGGCGGCAUGCCUUACACAUGCAAGUCGAACGGUAACGGGCCUUCGGGUGCCGACGAGUGGCGAACGGGUGAGUAAUGUAUCGGAACGUACCUUUCAGUGGGGGAUAACGUAGCGAAAGUUACGCUAAUACCGCAUAUUCUGUGAGCAGGAAAGCAGGGGAUCGCAAGACCUUGCGCUGAUUGAGCGGCCGAUAUCAGAUUAGCUAGUUGGUGAGGUAAAGGCUCACCAAGGCGACGAUCUGUAGCGGGUCUGAGAGGAUGAUCCGCCACACUGGAACUGAGACACGGUCCAGACUCCUACGGGAGGCAGCAGUGGGGAAUUUUGGACAAUGGGGGCAACCCUGAUCCAGCCAUGCCGCGUGAGUGAAGAAGGCCUUCGGGUUGUAAAGCUCUUUCGGCCGGGAAGAAAUCGCAUGGGUUAAUACCCUGUGCGGAUGACGGUACCGGCAUAAGAAGCACCGGCUAACUACGUGCCAGCAGCCGCGGUAAUACGUAGGGUGCGAGCGUUAAUCGGAAUUACUGGGCGUAAAGCGUGCGCAGGCGGUUUUUUAAGACAGGCGUGAAAUCCCCGGGCUCAACCUGGGAACUGCGCUUGUGACUGGAAGGCUAGAGUACGGCAGAGGGGGGUGGAAUUCCACGUGUAGCAGUGAAAUGCGUAGAGAUGUGGAGGAACACCAAUGGCGAAGGCAGCCCCCUGGGUCGAUACUGACGCUCAUGCACGAAAGCGUGGGUAGCAAACAGGAUUAGAUACCCUGGUAGUCC
RNAcentral lists this ribosomal RNA (791 nucleotides) under uncultured bacterium. RNAcentral describes it as "bacterial SSU rRNA". It matches the Rfam family "Bacterial small subunit ribosomal RNA", at positions 8 to 796 of the family's 1533-position model. The record is from RNAcentral.